UUCAAUAAACCUGUACAGCCUAAUAAAAGACUAACCCGCCAAGGUAAUGGGCACUCAGAAGAGCUACGUUGUGUCAUCGCUGUUAUUCGACAUGGCGAUCGAACUCCAAAACAGAAGGUGAAACUAAAUGUUACAGAGGAGAAACUGUUAAACCUGAUGCUGAAGUACAAUGGUGGAAAGCCAAGAGCUGAGACAAAACUAAAAAGUGCAGUCCAGUUGCAGGACCUAUUAGAUGCAACAAGAAUGUUAGUUCCCCGUACAAGACCAGGUCGUGAGAGUGAUAGUGAUCCAGAAGACCUUGAACAUGCUGAGAAGCUUCGCCAAGUUAAAGCAGUUCUUGAAGAGGUUCUUUAGUACUUUCUCUUUUUUUGUUAAAUAUAUAGUCCGGAGAAAGUAUUACAUAGUAUCAUUUAGUAAUACUAUCUUAUAUCAUUUUUUUUUGUUGAAUAUACUAUCUUAUAAGUAAGCUAGAAUUAUGCAUUUUUUAUUUAAUUCAUGAGGUCAUUUUCUCACAGCAGAGAACCUUUUGGAAUGGCGCAGGGAGGAAAUUUCUCAGGGAUAUACAGGAAGGUUCAACUGAAACCGCUGAAGUGAGAUGGUGAAGGCGAAGAAGAAAGACCUGUAGAGGCCCUUAUGAUUCUUAAAUACGGCGGUGUUCUAACUCACGCUGGUAGAAAACAUGU
Molecule: long non-coding RNA, 683 nt
Organism: Brassica napus (rape)
Lineage: Eukaryota; Viridiplantae; Streptophyta; Magnoliopsida; Brassicales; Brassicaceae
Exons: 4
Source: RefSeq, a predicted model, not a curated record